This 375-nucleotide ribosomal RNA is filed under the name Enterobacter sp. CAS40. Its description in RNAcentral is "bacterial SSU rRNA". It matches the Rfam family "Bacterial small subunit ribosomal RNA", at positions 969 to 1344 of the family's 1533-position model. The record is from RNAcentral. Lineage: Bacteria; Pseudomonadati; Pseudomonadota; Gammaproteobacteria; Enterobacterales; Enterobacteriaceae.
CCUUACCUGGUCUUGACAUCCACGGAACUUGGCAGAGAUGCCGGAGUGCCUUCGGGAACCGUGAGACAGGUGCUGCAUGGCUGUCGUCAGCUCGUGUUGUGAAAUGUUGGGUUAAGUCCCGCAACGAGCGCAACCCUUAUCCUUUGUUGCCAGCGGUCCGGCCGGGAACUCAAAGGAGACUGCCAGUGAUAAACUGGAGGAAGGUGGGGAUGACGUCAAGUCAUCAUGGCCCUUACGACCAGGGCUACACACGUGCUACAAUGGCGCAUACAAAGAGAAGCGACCUCGCGAGAGCAAGCGGACCUCAUAAAUUGCGUCGUAGUCCGGAUUGGAGUCUGCAACUCGACUCCAUGAAGUCGGAAUCGCUAGUAAUCG